RNAcentral lists this ribosomal RNA (253 nucleotides) under uncultured bacterium. RNAcentral describes it as "partial 16S ribosomal RNA". It matches the Rfam family "Bacterial small subunit ribosomal RNA", at positions 524 to 776 of the family's 1533-position model. The record is from RNAcentral.
UACGAACCGUGCAAACGUUAUUCGGAAUCACUGGGCAUAAAGGGCGCGUAGGCGGCUUUCUAAGUCAGGGGUGAAAUCCGGCAGCUCAACUGUCGCAGUGCCUUUGAUACUGGAGAGCUCGAGGGAGGUAGGGGUCUGUGGAACUUCCGGUGGAGCGGUGAAAUGCGUUGAUAUCGGGAGGAACGCCGGUGGCGAAAGCGACGGACUGGAUCUCUUCUGACGCUGAGGCGCGAAAGCCAGGGGAGCAAACGGG